CCUCGCCUAAGACGCACUCAUCGGGCAUGUACUUUCGAGAGAAUUCAGAUAUUGAGAACGUAUUAUAGUCGCUGUCUCUUAUAUCAUGACGGAUCGAGCCUGAUCGGCGCAGGAUGCGAAAGCUAAUACUGAGGGGCCUCUUACUAGUCGACACCAGCGUGCACGGAAAGCAGGAGCUCAAAGCUUGGAAGAGGGGGAUCAAGCUUGUGCAAUCUUUGCGAUUCGCUAGAUUUAUUUGGAACUCGAAGUUAUAAGCGGACGCUGAGAGUGCACAUCCUACGAGG
RNAcentral lists this long non-coding RNA (284 nucleotides) under Coccomyxa subellipsoidea. Its description in RNAcentral is "long non-coding RNA (CSUB_LNC000090)". The record is from RNAcentral. Lineage: Eukaryota; Viridiplantae; Chlorophyta; Trebouxiophyceae; Coccomyxaceae.